Molecule: ribosomal RNA, 439 nt
Filed under: uncultured bacterium
Lineage: Bacteria
Description: partial 16S ribosomal RNA
Rfam family: Bacterial small subunit ribosomal RNA
Source: RNAcentral
CUACGGGGGGCACCAGUGAGGAAUAUUGCACAAUGGGGGGAACCCUGAUGCAGCAACGCCGCGUGGAGGAUGACGCAUUUCGGUGUGUAAACUCCUUUUAUAUGUCAAGAAAAUGACGGUAGCAUAUGCAUAAGCACCGGCUAACUCCGUGCCAGCAGCCGCGGUAAUACGGAGGGUGCAAGCGUUACUCGGAAUCACUGGGCGUAAAGGACGCGUAGGCGGGUUGGAAAGUCAGGUGUGAAAUCCUACAGCUUAACUGUAGAACUGCACUUGAAACUUCUAAUCUAGAGUAUGGGAGGGGGAGAUGGAAUUAGUGGUGUAGGGGGAAAAUCCGUAGAUAUCACUAGGAAUACCUAAAGCGAAGGCGAUCUCCUGGAGCAUUACUGACGCUAAGGCGUGAAAGCGUGGGGAGCAAACAGGAUUAGAUACCCCCGUAGUC